CGGACGGGUGAGUAACGCGUGAGAAUCCUGCCUUCAGGUUGGGGACAACAGUUGGAAACGACUGCUAAUACCGAAUAUGCCGCGAGGUGAAAGCUUUAGUGCCUGAAGAGGAGCUCGCGUCCGAUUAGCUAGUUGGAGUGGUAACGGCACCCCAAGGCGACGAUCGGUAGCUGGUCUGAGAGGAUGAUCAGCCACACUGGGACUGGGACACGGCCCAGACUCCUACGGGAGGCAGCAGUGGGGAAUUUUCCGCAAUGGGCGCAAGCCUGACGGAGCAAGACCGCGUGCGGGAGGAAGGCCUUUGGGUUGUAAACCGCUUUUCUCAGGGAAGAAGCUCUGACGGUACCUGAGGAAUCAGCAUCGGCUAACUCCGUGCCAGCAGCCGCGGUAAUACGGAGGAUGCAAGCGUUAUCCGGAAUUAUUGGGCGUAAAGCGUCCGCAGGUGGUUGAGCAAGUCUGCUGUUAAAUUGUGGAGCUUAACUCCAUCACGGCGGUGGAAACUGCUCGACUGGAGGAUGGUAGGGGUUGCGGGAAUUCCCAGUGUAGCGGCGAAAUGCGUAGAUAUUGGGAAGAACACCAGCGGCGAAGGCGCGCAACUGGACCAUUACUGACACUCAUGGACGAAAGGNAGGGGAGCGAAAGGGAUUAGAUACCCC
Molecule: ribosomal RNA, 656 nt
Filed under: uncultured cyanobacterium
Lineage: Bacteria; Bacillati; Cyanobacteriota
Description: bacterial SSU rRNA
Rfam family: Bacterial small subunit ribosomal RNA
Source: RNAcentral